AGGAUUAACGCUGGCGGCGUGCCUGACACAUGCAAGUCGAACGAGGCCGCAAGGCCGAGUGGCGGACGGGUGAGUAACACGUGACCAACCAACCUCGAAGUUGGGAAUAGCUCUGCGAAAGUAGGGGUAAUACCGAAUGUGGCCCAGGGCGGGCAUCCGCCUUGGUCUAAAGAUUCAUCGCUUCGAGACGGGGUCGCGGCCUAUUAGCUUGUUGGUGAGGUAACGGCUCACCAAGGCGAUGAUGGGUAGCUGGUCUGAGAGGACGACCAGCCACACUGGGACUGAGACACGGCCCCAGACUCCUACGGGAGGCAGCAGUGAGGAAUCUUCCGCAAUGGGCGAAAGCCUGACGGAGCAACGCCGCGUGUGGGAUGAAGACUCUAGGGUUGUAAACCACUGUCGGAGGGGACGAUCGUGACGGUACCCUCCAAGAAAGCCCGGCUAACUACGUGCCAGCAGCCGC
Molecule: ribosomal RNA, 463 nt
Filed under: uncultured bacterium
Lineage: Bacteria
Description: SSU rRNA
Rfam family: Bacterial small subunit ribosomal RNA
Source: RNAcentral